ACAGAGGUCCCAAGCGUUGUUCGGAUUCAUUGGGCGUAAAGGGUGCGUAGGCGGCAGUGUAAGUUGGACGUGAAAUCCUGGGGCUCAACCUCAGAAUUGCGUUCAAUACUGCAUUGCUAGGGCGCUGUAGAGGAGAUUGGAAUUUACGGUGUAGCAGUGAAAUGCGUAGAUAUCGUAAGGAAGACCAGUGGCGAAAGCGAAUCUCUGGGCAGCAGCCGACGCUGAGGCACGAAGGCCAGGGGAGCAAACGGGA
This 253-nucleotide ribosomal RNA is filed under the name uncultured prokaryote. RNAcentral's name for it is "partial 16S ribosomal RNA". It matches the Rfam family "Bacterial small subunit ribosomal RNA", at positions 525 to 777 of the family's 1533-position model. The record is from RNAcentral.